AUGGCGCCGCACGACGACGAGGUCCCCGUCCCCUACGUCGAGGCUGCCGACGAGGACGAGCAAAGCUUCACGUGCGGCGUGCUGUGCAUGUUCAUCCCGGGCUUCGCAAAGAAGAAGCCGGGGUCGCCCUCCGCGGCGGCCGUCGUGUCGAGCAUACAGAGGCAGCAUUCCGGGGCGAGGCGGCGGAGCAGCGUGUCGCGGAUGGCGGAGCUGGAGAGGUUCGAGUGCGGGUCGUGGAGCCCGCCACCGCCGCCGCAUCCGGUGAGUGUUGUGCCGACGCACGUCGACAUGGACUUCGCGAUGGAGGUGCCCAAGAUCAGCUGCGCGGACGACACGGACUUGCCGGUCAAGAUGGCGUUCGUGUUCGAGGGCGAGGCGAGGGGGGCACUGAAGAAGUCGGCGUCGGAUUCGCGCCGGCAUGAGCCGGCGUCGCCGGCCAAGACGGCGUCCGCGUUCGACGGCGAGCCGAGGGGGAUCCUGAAGAAGUCGGCGUCGGCGUCGCAGCGGCAGGAGUCGGCCCCCAGGACGUCGUCCGCGUCGCAGCGGCACGUGAGGUUCUCGACGGCCGCGGCGCCUCCGGCGUCGUGCCCGACGUCGCCGUGCAUCACGCCGCGGCUGGCGAUGGCCAGGGCCGAGUUCAACGCCUUCUUGGAGGCGCAGAGCGCGUAG
Molecule: ribosomal RNA, 669 nt
Filed under: Triticum aestivum (bread wheat)
Lineage: Eukaryota; Viridiplantae; Streptophyta; Magnoliopsida; Poales; Poaceae
Description: partial small subunit ribosomal RNA
Source: RNAcentral